GUCGAUGUAGCUUAAUGGUAAAGCGCUAGGGACAUGUCGUAAAAAGACUAGAUAUAAUUGGUUCAAUUCCAAUCAUCGACACCA
RNAcentral lists this transfer RNA (84 nucleotides) under Clostridium perfringens. RNAcentral describes it as "tRNA-Phe". It matches the Rfam family "tRNA". From Rfam's summary of the family: Transfer RNA (tRNA) molecules are approximately 80 nucleotides in length. Their secondary structure includes four short double-helical elements and three loops (D, anti-codon, and T loops). The record is from RNAcentral. Lineage: Bacteria; Bacillati; Bacillota; Clostridia; Eubacteriales; Clostridiaceae.